Molecule: ribosomal RNA, 492 nt
Filed under: uncultured bacterium
Lineage: Bacteria
Description: bacterial SSU rRNA
Rfam family: Bacterial small subunit ribosomal RNA
Source: RNAcentral
GGCUCAGGAUGAACGCUAGCGGCAGGCUUAAUACAUGCAAGUCGUGGGGCAGCAUGAGUAGCAAUACUUGAUGGCGACCGGCAAACGGGUGAGGAACACGUACACAACCUUCCUUCAAGCGGGGAAUAGCCCAGAGAAAUUUGGAUUAAUACCCCAUAAUAUAUUUGAUAAGGCAUCUUAUUAAUAUUAAAGCUUCGGCACUUGAUGAUGGGUGUGCGGCUGAUUAGAUAGUUGGCGGGGUAACGGCCCACCAAGUCUACGAUCAGUAGCUGAUGUGAGGGCAUGAUCAGCCACACGGGCACUGAGACACGGGCCCGACUCCUACGGGAGGCAGCAGUAAGGAAUAUUGGACAAUGGACGAAAGUCUGAUCCAGCCAUGCCGCGUGAAGGAUUAAGGUUCUCUGGAUUGUAAACUUCUUUUAUAUGGGACGAAAAAAGGGCAUUCUUGUUCACUUGACGGUACCAUAUGAAUAAGCACCGGCUAACUCCGUG